AGAGUAUUUUCACUGAGUCAACAAACAGAGGUAUCAGCGCCGGCUCCCUUUGAUGGUCCUGUGAGCGCUUGUAAGCCUCCAAAGCUGUUCUUGGCACAGAGGGACCAUGUCUAAAAGCUUCCAUUCUCCUCUUCAUUGGAAUCACCCCUCCUGCCUCCUGGAGGGAUUCCUAACUCACAUUCUUGGACAACAAAGGCAGUUAACGGAAUCCUGAGCCAGGGCCAAGGAAGUGUAGCCAAGAGGAUGACUUGGUUUGGUCUCCUGUGGAAAAGAUUCCAGCAUCUCCCAUUCAACAAAAGCCAAAGUCUACAAGAAAUAGGACGUGAGGUUCCAGUUCUUGGAACAGGGACUGCAAACCCUUCACCUUCAAGAAGAAAAAUUACCAGACAUGAAGGGAGCUACCUCCAAGGCGAAG
This 415-nucleotide long non-coding RNA is filed under the name Homo sapiens (human). RNAcentral's name for it is "HSALNT0135674". Lineage: Eukaryota; Metazoa; Chordata; Mammalia; Primates; Hominidae. The record is from RNAcentral.